GCCGCUGUAGCUCAGUCCGGUGGAGCAAUCGGCUGUUAACCGAUCGGUCACAAGUUCGAAUCUUGUCAGCGGCGCCA
Molecule: transfer RNA, 77 nt
Filed under: Candidatus Heimdallarchaeota archaeon
Lineage: Archaea; Promethearchaeati; Candidatus Heimdallarchaeota
Description: tRNA-Asn
Rfam family: tRNA
About the family: Transfer RNA (tRNA) molecules are approximately 80 nucleotides in length. Their secondary structure includes four short double-helical elements and three loops (D, anti-codon, and T loops).
Source: RNAcentral